This 535-nucleotide long non-coding RNA is filed under the name Pan troglodytes (chimpanzee). RNAcentral's name for it is "lincRNA". The record is from RNAcentral. Lineage: Eukaryota; Metazoa; Chordata; Mammalia; Primates; Hominidae.
GGAAGUAUGGCGGCUGCUCGAACGCCGCGCGGCGGAGGCCAUUAAGGCGUGGACGGCCCGGGAAGGCGGCCUAGGGACGCAAGCAGGCUCGGCCGCCUCUUUCGGCCACGGAGCCGCGCAGAUCCGGUUCCCGGUUGACCACUCUGUCGCCAUUGGGCGAGACCUACCUAGUCCUGACGACAACGGACAAAGGCCUUAAGGGGCCUGAAAGCAACCUCCAGUCCUGCAAGCUUCAUUCCUGAAUGGUAGAAAGCAGUCUUCAGCCUGAGACCCAUCCCUAGACUCUAUGGCACAAAGAGGCACUACAGAAAAUCCCAGAAUUUAUUCCGACUGAAGCAAUAUGCAACUGGCAAAACUGGCAGCUGAAAGGAUCCUGAAUCAGAAGGAUUUUAAAUGCCGUUUUGGCACAGGAUGUCAGAGCACAAGCAUGGUGAAGAGGAAUCUGUGUCAGGAAGAAGGUGGAAGAGAUACGACAUUGGUCAAACAGAGAAUUGAUAAAAUAAGAAAACAAGUUGAAAAAAUAAAACAAAACCAG